Centrocercus urophasianus (Greater sage-grouse) is the source of this 1600-nucleotide long non-coding RNA. RefSeq lists it as uncharacterized. The transcript is spliced from 8 exons. Lineage: Eukaryota; Metazoa; Chordata; Aves; Galliformes; Phasianidae. The record is from RefSeq and is a predicted model, not a curated record.
UCCUGGAGCUAACUCUGUGGGCAGCCCCAGGUCAUCGCCCUGGUGUAACAGUAUGCAGCACUCCGGCAUCAGAGCCAUUAUCUGAAAGAAGUGCCAGCCAGGAGACAGAGCGCAGGCAAGAUGCCAAACCCAAGUUGCAUCAGUUAAUGUGUAACUCAUCAUGCGCCAGCUCCUGCCUGCAGCAGCACCGGGCGCUCGGUGGCAGGAAUUGGAGCAGGAUCUGGCAUGGGAGGAGAGUGACGGAGCGCUGCACCCCACAGCAGCUGGCUUAAGGUGUGGUCCUGGUCUGCUCUGGUCUCACUGAACUUUGACCCUAAAGGCACUGAACUCUCAUGGGAGCUCUCCAAUCAAGAGUAUUAACAAGGAGCAAUCAGCAGGGGAGAUUUCCAGCAGACCUACAGAAGAGACACAGGAAUCAGGGGUACAAAGGAUUGUGGCCUGAGGAAGUGUGUGAUGGCAGUAGGAUGAAUGGAGAACAUGGAAGACCUGAAGACUCUUCAGGUAUCUCUUCAGAGAUACCAUCUUUCUCAGAUCAAGAAUAUCAAAGGGUGAAGGAAGGAACAGAACUGGACUCAAAGUCAAGUUUGGUGAAGCUGCACCAUCUCCUUAGCCCUCAGCAAUGAAUUUAUGAUUAUUAUGAAAUUUGUCGAGGACUUCAAUUACAAUCAAACCACAAGGAGGACAAACAGCAAACACAAUAAGCUGCUGGCUGACUUGCUCGGGUAGCUGCUAGUGAUCGAUAGUUUUUGAAGCUGUAAUUUCAAAUUACUGCAGUCAGGUCUUUUUCCUUUUGUCUUUUUGGCCAGUGCUGGCAAAGCAACAGCCUGGGUGAAUGAUAUCUGUUUAUAUGGUGGUUUUGAGAAGAGAAGAGGAAAUGCUAUGUUGUCUUCAAUCAAAGAAGUGUGGCCACGGAAAGAGGAGAGCUGAAACUGGUCAAGAUGCUACAACAUGGCAUAUAGGGACUGGAGCAGCAUGUCACAGAAGAGCCACUCUUGGAAGGAUGAGAUACGUGAGAUAAAUCAUGUGGCUUUUAUUCAUGAGGAGAGUCCAGAAAAGACAGAUGUUUUUGGUGCUGACUAUCCUAUGUAAAGUAGGUAGAUCAAACCACUCUCAGAAACCUUUUUUAGGGAGUGCCAAACUGUGACCCUGUGCAAAAUCAUGUAAUCUAAAGACAAAGGUAUCAGAAGGAGUAAGAGCCAAGGAGACCUCAGAGCUACCCUGUUUGUAUGACUGGAAAUCCUUUAUCUCCCCCACCCUCGCUGGCCCACAACCAAAAUGGUUUAAUGAGAACGUUAUUUGUUGAUACUGGCAGGUCUUGCUAUCACUCAUUGAAGAGGUAAGCAGUAUCACCUGUAGUGAAUGUGUUGCAAUUAGCAGAUAUAUUACACCUGCAGUCAGAUCUCCUCUUUUCAUCUAAAAUUUUUCAUUUCUUCCUUGUGUUGGCUGAGGAAGGGAUUUAUCCGGGGCCACUACAAAGGCAAGGGGAUGUAGUGAGAAGAAUCGAGCUGAUCUUCUGCUGGUUCCUGGUGUAGAAGACAUCACAGAAUCACAGAAUCACAGAAUUGUAGGGGUUGGAAGGGACCUCCAGAGAUCAUCGCGU